AUUGAACGCUGGCGGCAUGCUUUACACAUGCAAGUCGAACGGCAGCGCGGGCUUCGGCCUGGCGGCGAGUGGCGAACGGGUGAGUAAUACAUCGGAACGUGCCCAGUCGUGGGGGAUAGCUCGGCGAAAGCCGGAUUAAUACCGCAUACGACCUGAGGGUGAAAGCGGGGGAUCUUCGGACCUCGCGCUAUUUGAGCGGCCGAUGGCAGAUUAGCUAGUUGGUGGGGUAAAGGCCUACCAAGGCGACGAUCUGUAGCUGGUCUGAGAGGACGACCAGCCACACUGGGACUGAGACACGGCCCAGACUCCUACGGGAGGCAGCAGUGGGGAAUUUUGGACAAUGGGCGAAAGCCUGAUCCAGCAAUGCCGCGUGUGUGAUGAAGGCCUUCGGGUUGUAAAGCACUUUUGGCGGGAACGAAAAGGACUGUGCCAAUACCACGGUUCGAUGACGGUACCCGCAGAAUAAGCACCGGCUAACUACGUG
RNAcentral lists this ribosomal RNA (484 nucleotides) under uncultured bacterium. Its description in RNAcentral is "partial 16S ribosomal RNA". It matches the Rfam family "Bacterial small subunit ribosomal RNA", at positions 29 to 507 of the family's 1533-position model. The record is from RNAcentral.